CCAUCCGCCCCAUAUCUUCACUUCUGCUUCCAGACCCGAGAAGACCAGAACCCGAAAGAAGAUCUCCAGAAGACUGUAGUCUCGCCGUGAUCGUCCUGACAAGAUACUCAUUGAAGCGAUACCAUGAGGCUGUUUGUCGCCACGCUGUUCGUGACAAUGCUUGUCACCGCAAUGCUGAUUGAGGACUCCGAAUCAAUCGGAUCCGCUUUCAUACCCGGCAACAAAAAAAAAAAGCCAAAGGGUUGGUGGAAUGGAAAGUUACAGGCAGAUCAAAAGCUGAGUGAGGAAGUGGAAGAGGCGCGAUCUCUUCUGGAUAGCCUGAGCGACCUGAUGAAUGACCCUGACGAGCAGCUGGACCUGAGUGACCUGCGGGGGUUACAGGAACCGGAGGAGCAAGACGACGCCCGUCGCCUCUGGUAACCUGCAGCCGACUGGACGACCUGAUGACCGGAGGUUUCAGUGGCGUCAAAAGGGCAGAACCAAACGUUAGGUUAAUGAACGAGAAUCGUGGAAAUGCAGUGUCAUGUUAAUCCAUCCUACUUGUAUUUUUCCCUGCUCAUGUUUGAUAUUAAUUAUGCAUUGUAACUUACUUAUUGGAAGUCAUGAUAUUACAUACCUCAUAAAAAACUAUUUCAAAAAUUAGUUUUAACAGUAGAUACAAGGCUUACAGUACCCUACCUUAGCAGUGAAUAACAAGGCUACUGUUUUCCCGGGGAUUGUUCAAUAAAACCUACUGAAGAAAAAUGAAAAA
Long non-coding RNA from Branchiostoma floridae (Florida lancelet), 751 nucleotides. RefSeq lists it as uncharacterized. The transcript is spliced from 3 exons. NCBI's taxonomy places the organism in Eukaryota, Metazoa, Chordata, Leptocardii, Amphioxiformes, Branchiostomatidae. The record is from RefSeq and is a predicted model, not a curated record.